UACAUGCAGUUGUCGGAGCAAUUGCCUUACCAUUUUCUCACCAGAAACUGUGUGUUGACUUGGAAGUGAAAGGGGGAGUAGGGACCAAGGGAAGAUGGCAGAGAGGAGGUGAGUUUCAGCAGGUUAAGCGUCAGCCGUGAGAAGACCAUUGGACUUCCUAGAGAAUUAUUCAUCCUUCCUCGGGCAAACGCUGCCUCCGAAAGGCUCUUGAGCUGCAAGGGGAUAUGUUGGCCCAAGCUGGUGAAGUAUUUGAACGCACAUAUGGGUGAUAGAAAUGGACUUCAACCACAGAGGACCACGGACGGCCCCAGUCUCAGAGCGCCUCUCUUCACAUAGAGUCAGUGUUUCAAGCCCGGAUAAGACAGAGGAGAGGAUUCAGUAAAUUAAAAGCCCAGUGGAAUAAGCAAGAAGUGGGAGAAGAGAAGCCCAUCUACACCGACAUCUACCCCCCAUCAUUACUACCACCAGCCCUCACUCAGGAUGUGGAGGGUGAAGAUGGACUGAAAACAGAAGGAUCUGUUGGAAGUCUGCUUGAGAAAUAGCGAACUCCUCCCCAGACGCCUCUAUCCCACUCCAUGCAGUUGGUCAACUGCCCUUCUUCUACCCCAGCAGAAGCCAGGAGACUCCUUCUCUUUGGAGCGGGACAUGGAGGGCAUUCAGACUGGAGGCUAUCAGGCUAAGUCGAAGGCAAAGGUAUCAUGCUGAAAAUAACGAUUAAGUGGAAAGUGACAUUCUUUACGUUGAAACCACUAAGCCUUCUUUCCCAUGGUGCUUCCAGAAUCCUGAUAUCUAGGCAGAAGUUUGGAAGAGUCUUUUCUAGGUCAUAUGAUUGGCCUAAGGGGACAAUCCUCAAACAAACCACCCCGCCGGCUAACAAUCCACAUGCUCCAAGCCCCUCCCAUAUGCACAAAGUUCCAAUCAUCUUUUUAUAGCUCAAAUAUUAAAUAUGAGCAGACAAUAUGGAUCACCAGGCAUUUGAGCACAUCUUCUUAUGUAAAAGAGAGGGGUCCAAUCCAACGAAGAGGAAAAAAAAAGUAGAGUAAAUGACUGUGCUAUAAGAAAACAAUGUCAGAUAGUCACUGAUAUCCUAAGAAAAAUCAAGCAUUCAUGACAUAAGAAUAGGAAUUUACUCUUUUAAAAAGGAAUAUAGGAUAUUCAGAGACUAAAAAGGAGAUCUUGUAUAUUAAAAUAUAUAAUAGCAGAAAUAAAAACAAAAUUGAAAGAAUCAAAUUGUAUUUUAAAAAUUGUUUCAACAUUAUUAAGAUCAUAUUCACUAUUUGCUGUGUCUAUUAGGAUGUAAAAUACUUUGGGGCGCCUGGGUGGCUCUCA
Long non-coding RNA from Lynx canadensis (Canada lynx), 1329 nucleotides. RefSeq lists it as uncharacterized. NCBI's taxonomy places the organism in Eukaryota, Metazoa, Chordata, Mammalia, Carnivora, Felidae. The record is from RefSeq and is a predicted model, not a curated record. The transcript has 4 exons.